CCAGUGUUCUGUACCCACAGUCAUCAGUUCUUAUAACUUUACACUAAUCCAGUGAUCUCUCCCCACAGUCAUCAGCUGCUGUCACACUUGGCUUCUGGAAGCAUUCCUUGCAACAUCAGUCUGGAGACAUUUGCCUGUGCGGAACUCUCACAGCUCUCAGGAUUCACUGCACAACACCUGGCCCAGCUCCUGGUGUGCAAGCUGUCCAGCAACAUGACUUACUCUAGGGAGACCUGGAAGCUGCUCCUCACCAAAACCUCUGCAGUUCUGGAUGAAGCUCUCAUCAUGGUCUCCCACGUGGUCUCCAACAAGUCACUGGCAAUUGGCGGUCCAUCCAUAACCAAUGUCCUGGACGUGCUCGGAGAGAUCCGAUUGGACAGGAUUGCCUCAGGGGAAUGGAGCAACAUGGACUUCAUCUCCGCACUGUUUGGUGACGGCCUGCGUCCAUUCUUAUCCUCCGCCUCAGGAAGCCUUCUGCAGUGUGUCAGCAGCAAGAACCUCACAUGUCAAACCUACCAGCACAUAGUGGGAGAGUUCAGUCAGCAGUUUGACCACAUCCCUGAGCCACGCAAGGAGGGCUUCGUCGACUUCUUCAUCAAAACGUUCCUGGCCAAAAACACCUCAGAUUCAGCGUGCAGGUCUAAUGACAGUGUGGGAUGGCUUCUCAACAACUUUGGCCGAUUCUCCGUCUUUGUGCCUCUCAAGGGUCUUCUCACACUUAAUAACCUCUUCGAUCCAGUGGCAGCCUUGGACUAUCUCUCCCCCAGACAGUUGGCUGAGCUGGUUGUUCUUCCUGACCUUCCCAACAGAGAUGAGGCCAUCCACAAAGUGUUUGACACCUUGACACAACCUCCGCGUGCCACAGACCUCCCUGAGUUCCUCCGCCAUCUUAUGAUGCUCUCUGAAGAGGUGAUGGUUCCAUGUGACUCAUAUAGAACCAUCUUUGGGAGGCUCUAUCUGGCCUUGUCAUCUGUUCCCGGCGAGACUGAGCCGCUGGUCUGGGCAGCCAUACGCAAACUGAUGCAGACCGCUCCAGCAGAUUGCAUGCCUGAAACUGGAAGGUGUCCUGUGAUCAUGGUAAACGAGACCAUGAUGUGUGCCGGAGUGAACAGCUCUGAACUACAGCACCAUCUAGAGACUGGAGCAGGAAUUGAAGUCCUUUGUGGCUUCAGUCUAGAGACUUUUGCCUGCACAGAACUGACAGGAUUCACUGCACAACACCUGGCCCAGCUCCUGGUGUGCAAGCUGUCCAGCAACAUGACUUACUCUAGGGAGACCUGGAAGCUGCUCCUCACCAAAACCUCUGCAGUUCUGGAUGAAGCUCUCAUCAUGUUCUCCCACAUGGUCUCAAACAAGUCUCUGUCUAUUAGCGGCCCCUCUGCGUCCGCGGCCCUGGAUGCUCUCAGGGAGAUACGGCUGGACAGGCUGACCCCUGAUCAGUGGCAGCAGGCUAACCUCACCACAGCUCUGUUCAAGGACAGCCUCGCGCCGCUCCUGCCCUCCGCCUCGCCAGACUUCCUGCGCUGCCUCGCCAAAGACCUCAGCUGUGGGACGUACCAGCACAUGGUGACUGUGUUCAGCCAUGGCUUCGAUCUCAUGGAUGAGGGACGCAGAGAGACUGUUCUGAACGAUUUCAUCAUGGUCUACCUGUCCAACACCUCAGCAUGCUUCUCCAAUGACAGUGUGGAAUGGCUGCAGAACAACCUCGGGCGAUUCUCAGGCCUUUUGAGCCUCGGUGACCUGUUCCAACUCAACGCACACUUCCGUCCACUGUCAGCACUGGAGUUCCUGUCUCCACGUCAGACGGCGGAGCUGAUGGUCCGUCGCUUCCCUGGCCUCCCGGGGCAGGUCGAGGUCAUCAACGUCGUCUUUGACCGCUUGACCUCAAAUGGACAGAAGCUUACGGAGGUCCUUCACCACCUGGUCGCACUCUCCAAACAGGUCAUGAUACCUUGCGACAGCUAUGAAGCCCUCUUUGAGAGGCUUUAUAAGGUCUUGCCCUACGAGCCUCGGAGAUCGAGCCUCUCAUUUGGGCCACGAUAGACGACCUGAUGCAAACAUCACCCAGAGACUGCCUGCCAGUGGACCUG
Long non-coding RNA from Clupea harengus (Atlantic herring), 2090 nucleotides. Lineage: Eukaryota; Metazoa; Chordata; Actinopteri; Clupeiformes; Clupeidae. The record is from Ensembl.